This 74-nucleotide transfer RNA is filed under the name Bos taurus (domestic cattle). It matches the Rfam family "tRNA". From Rfam's summary of the family: Transfer RNA (tRNA) molecules are approximately 80 nucleotides in length. Their secondary structure includes four short double-helical elements and three loops (D, anti-codon, and T loops). Further hydrogen bonds mediate the characteristic L-shaped molecular structure. tRNAs have two regions of fundamental functional importance: the anti-codon, which is responsible for specific mRNA codon recognition, and the 3' end, to which the tRNAs corresponding amino acid is attached (by aminoacyl-tRNA synthetases). tRNAs cope with the degeneracy of the genetic code in two manners: having more than one tRNA (with a specific anti-codon) for a particular amino acid; and 'wobble' base-pairing, i.e. permitting non-standard base-pairing at the 3rd anti-codon position. The record is from Rfam by way of RNAcentral. RNAcentral also lists the same sequence under 5 other names. Lineage: Eukaryota; Metazoa; Chordata; Mammalia; Artiodactyla; Bovidae.
UCCCCGGCUGUCCAGUGGUUCAAGACUCUGUGCUUCCAAUGCAGAGGGCAUAGGUUUGAUCCCUAGUUGGGGAA